Molecule: ribosomal RNA, 402 nt
Filed under: uncultured bacterium
Lineage: Bacteria
Description: bacterial SSU rRNA
Rfam family: Bacterial small subunit ribosomal RNA
Source: RNAcentral
UGGGGAAUAUUGGACAAUGGGCGCAAGCCUGAUCCAGCCAUGCCGCGUGAGUGACGAAGGCCUUAGGGUUGUAAAGCUCUUUUGGCGGGGAAGAUAAUGACGGUACCCGCAGAAUAAGCUCCGGCUAACUUCGUGCCAGCAGCCGCGGUAAUACGAAGGGAGCUAGCGUUGUUCGGAAUCACUGGGCGUAAAGCGCACGUAGGCGGACUUUCAAGUCAGGGGUGAAAUCCCGAGGCUCAACCUCGGAACUGCCUUUGAUACUGUUGGUCUCGAGUCCGGAAGAGGUGAGUGGAAUUCCUAGUGUAGAGGUGAAAUUCGUAGAUAUUAGGAAGAACACCGGUGGCGAAGGCGGCUCACUGGUCCGGUACUGACGCUGAGGUGCGAAAGCGUGGGGAGCAAACA